GUGCAGCUUGUGGGAUCUUAGUGCUUUGAGUAAGGAUUGAACCCUGGCCCCGGGCAUUGGAAGACUGAAAUUCUAACCGCUAGACCACCAGGGAAUUCCUUCCAGCACAUGUUUGUCACUGAAGUUUCUUCCUUUUGACCACUUUAACAUCUUCCACUCAGUCCUCAUCCCCACCUCUGGCAACCGCCAAUCUGUCCUCUGAGUUGUUUUUAAGUUAUUUAAAACAUUUUUUUAGAUUCCACACAUGAGAUCAUCCUGUGUUUGUCUUUCUCUGAGUUAUCUCAUUUAGCACAGUGCCAAGGUCCAUUCCUUUUAUUGCAAAUGGCAGGAUUUCUGGUCUAUUUUGACCCCACUUUCUCAGAGAGCAGAGGAAAAAACUCCAGAACUAUUCUGGGGGACCUAUGUUCCCCCAGGUGACCUCGUCUUUGCCAUACAGAUGGAGGCUGAAGAGGGGGUCUGAAGGGAACGGGGGCAGCAGCUGUGGAGAGCGGCAGUGAGUCAUCCCGAGGCAAGCUCUACCACGUGACCUCAGUCACAGGCACCCAGCACAUGCUGAGCCGGGCGCUGGCAGCAUGGUCUCAUGCCCUUCCCCAGCAAAACACUGCUGUGAGCAGAGGAAGUUCCCCAUGCUGAGGACCAGAGGAGAAGAGCAGAAAGUGUGAUUACAGACCAUCUCUGGAGAUGGCAGAGAUGUCAUGGGAAUGGCCUCCCAGGCAUUGUCAGAAUUAGCCAGAAGUGCUCAACCACCAGCUCAACAGAAACAUAUGGGAUGACAAGGUUGACCUUUUCUGACCCCUGGUGACUUCGAUCAACUGAAGCCUGUCCUCUGUUAACCUUUGCCGUAAUCCAGGCAGAAUUCUCCUCCUCUCAAGCCCCUUCAUGCAUAUGCAUAUACCCUCAGUUUAAAACUUCCAAUAAAAAAUUUAAAAAUUACUCUUUUUUAACUUAAACACAAAACAAAACAAACAAAAAAACUUGCCCGAUUUUGCCGUUUGGGGAGACACAGCUUUGGGAAAGAUCUCCGGUGUUCUCCUUAUUUGCUGCAAGUAAUAAAUCCUUCCUUCUGCUCUUUGA
Bos taurus (domestic cattle) is the source of this 1074-nucleotide long non-coding RNA. NCBI's taxonomy places the organism in Eukaryota, Metazoa, Chordata, Mammalia, Artiodactyla, Bovidae. The record is from Ensembl.